Molecule: ribosomal RNA, 743 nt
Filed under: uncultured bacterium
Lineage: Bacteria
Description: bacterial SSU rRNA
Rfam family: Bacterial small subunit ribosomal RNA
Source: RNAcentral
AGAGUUUGAUCCUGGCUCAGAGCGAACGCUGGCGGCAGGCCUAACACAUGCAAGUCGAACGGGCCCUUCGGGGUCAGUGGCAGACGGGUGAGUAACGCGUGGGAACGUGCCCAUCGGUUCGGAAUAACCCAGGGAAACUUGGGCUAAUACCGGAUACGUCCUUUUUGGAGAAAGAUUUAUCGCCGAUGGAUCGGCCCGCGUCUGAUUAGCUAGUUGGUGGGGUAAUGGCCCACCAAGGCGACGAUCAGUAGCUGGUCUGAGAGGAUGAUCAGCCACACUGGGACUGAGACACGGCCCAGACUCCUACGGGAGGCAGCAGUGGGGAAUAUUGGACAAUGGGCGCAAGCCUGAUCCAGCCAUGCCGCGUGAGUGAUGAAGGCCCUAGGGUUGUAAAGCUCUUUCACCCACGACGAUAAUGACGGUAGUGGGAGAAGAAGCCCCGGCUAACUUCGUGCCAGCAGCCGCGGUAAUACGAAGGGGGCUAGCGUUGCUCGGAAUCACUGGGCGUAAAGGGCGCGUAGGCGGACCUUUAAGUCAGGGGUGAAAGCCUGUGGCUCAACCACAGAAUUGCCUUUGAUACUGAGGGUCUCGAGACCGGAAGAGGUUGGUGGAACUGCGAGUGUAGAGGUGAAAUUCGUAGAUAUUCGCAAGAACACCAGUGGCGAAGGCGGCCAACUGGUCCGGUUCUGACGCUGAGGCGCGAAAGCGUGGGGAGCAAACAGGAUUAGAUACCCUAGUAGUCC